RNAcentral lists this ribosomal RNA (252 nucleotides) under uncultured bacterium. Its description in RNAcentral is "partial 16S ribosomal RNA". It matches the Rfam family "Bacterial small subunit ribosomal RNA", at positions 524 to 776 of the family's 1533-position model. The record is from RNAcentral.
UACGGAGGAUGCGAGCGUUAUCCGGAUUUAUUGGGUUUAAAGGGUGCGUAGGCGGGCUUUUAAGUCAGCGGUAAACAUUCGGGGCUCAACCCCGUCCGGCCGUUGAAACUGGGGGCCUUGAGUGGGCGAGAAGAAGGCGGAAUGCGUGGUGUAGCGGUGAAAUGCAUAGAUAUCACGCAGAACCCCGAUUGCGAAGGCAGCCUUCCGGCGCCCUACUGACGCUGAGGCACGAAAGUGCGGGGAUCGAACAGG